RNAcentral lists this ribosomal RNA (1386 nucleotides) under uncultured bacterium. Its description in RNAcentral is "partial 16S ribosomal RNA". It matches the Rfam family "Bacterial small subunit ribosomal RNA". The record is from RNAcentral.
UUAGAGUUUGAUCCUGGCUCAGAAUAAACGCUGGCGGCAUGCUUAACACAUGCAAGUCGUACGAGAAAGUCUCCUUCGGGGGGCGAGUAAAGUGGCGGACGGGUGAGUAACACGUAAGAACCUGCCCUUUGGUUUGGGAUAACGUCGCGAAAGCGGCGCUAAUACCAAAUGAUGUCUACGGUCCAAAGAGGGCGAAAGCUCUCGCCAGAGGAGGGGCUUGCGUCCCAUUAGCUUGUUGGUGAGGUAAUAGCUUACCAAGGCGACGAUGGGUAGCCGGCCUGAGAGGGUGUACGGCCACACUGGGACUGAGACACGGCCCAGACUCCUACGGGAGGCAGCAGUGAGGAAUAUUGGACAAUGGAUGGAAAUCUGAUCCAGCCAUGCCGCGUGCAGGAAGACGGCCUUAUGGGUUGUAAACUGCUUUUAUACGGGAGCAAUAAGGGUUACGAGUAAUCCGAUGAGAGUACUGUAUGAAUAAGGAUCGGCUAACUCCGUGCCAGCAGCCGCGGUAAUACGGAGGAUCCGAGCGUUAUCCGGAAUUAUUGGGUUUAAAGGGUGCGUAGGCGGCCAUUUAAGUCAGCGGUGAAAUUUUGCAGCUUAACUGUAACAGUGCCGUUGAUACUGUUUGGCUAGGAUUUGGUUGUAGUGUGCGGAAUGUGUGGUGUAGCGGUGAAAUGCUUAGAUAUCACACAGAACACCGAUUGCGAAGGCAGCACACUAAGUCAUUAUUGACGCUGAGGCACGAAAGUGUGGGGAUCAAACAGGAUUAGAUACCCUGGUAGUCCACACUGUAAACGAUGAUAACUCGCUGUCGGCGAUACACAGUCGGUGGCCAAGCGAAAGCAUUAAGUUAUCCACCUGGGGAGUACGACCGCAAGGUUGAAACUCAAAGGAAUAGACGGGGGCCCGCACAAGCGGAGGAACAUGUGGUUUAAUUCGAUGAUACGCGAGGAACCUUACCCGGGCUCGAACGGUGCAUGAAUAUACGAGAGAUUGUAUAGUCCUUCGGGACAUGUAUCGAGGUGCUGCAUGGUUGUCGUCAGCUCGUGCCGUGAGGUGUCGGCUUAAGUGCCAUAACGAGCGCAACCCUCGUCAUUAGUUGCCAUCAGGUCAAGCUGGGGACUUUAAUGAGACUGCCACCGUAAGGUGUGAGGAAGGGGGGGGGGACGUCAAAUCAGCACGGCCCUUAUGUCCGGGGGGACACACGUGUUACAAUGGGAGGUACAGAGGGCAGCUAUCCGGUGACGGAAUGCUAAUCUCCAAAACCUUUCUCAGUUCGGAUUGGAGUGUGCAACUCGACUCCAUGAAGGUGGAUUCGCUAGUAAUCGCGCAUCAGCCAUGGCGCGGUGAAUAAGUUCCCGGGCCUUGUACACACCGCCCGUCAAG